CCUUGCAUGCCGUAACAUUGGUAGCCCAUCGCCAUCAUUCAGGAGCUACUCCGUGUCAAGUUCAAGCUCAGAGGAUGACGGGCAAUGCGCAGCUCUUAUCACCUGCUUGGCUCGCCGGGUCACCGUAGCUGCCACUGGGACAGGAACUCCCCGCCUUCAACGCAGUCGAGCUAUGAGCCGGGACCAAGUCAGAAACUGGAAUUUUUGAUCAUGCUAGAGGUGUGAAAGAACUUAUCAGUCUUGUGCGCGAGGGAGAGGAAGAACAAUUCCCCUACUGUAUAUUUGGUUCUUUUAGUACUCGCGUAAAAUUGUCUCUAGUAGCUUGUUUUUGUCUGUGAAUCGGGUUAUUUGCUCCCUUUUCUCUUGUCAACUGUUAGAUCUGUCAAUCUAGUGUGUGUUAUUCUCGAGUUAAACUUCAA
Long non-coding RNA from Zingiber officinale, 419 nucleotides. RefSeq lists it as uncharacterized. The transcript is spliced from 2 exons. Lineage: Eukaryota; Viridiplantae; Streptophyta; Magnoliopsida; Zingiberales; Zingiberaceae. The record is from RefSeq and is a predicted model, not a curated record.